Molecule: small RNA, 854 nt
Filed under: Pan troglodytes (chimpanzee)
Lineage: Eukaryota; Metazoa; Chordata; Mammalia; Primates; Hominidae
Description: sense intronic
Source: RNAcentral
CAUCUUGUUAGGGAGGAGUAGAGAGGACAGUUGGACCUCCAGGCCGGGAGGUGGGGUUUGGCAAGAGAGGGUGCAGGGCUGCAGGCUGAUGGGUGAUUAGUAUCAAGAUAGCCCAACUUCAGCAUGGAGUUGCAGUGAGUCGAGAUCACGCCGCUGCACUCCAGCCUGGGCAACAGAGUGAGACUGUCUCAAAAAAAAGAAAAAAAAAGAUAUAGCUCUGUAAAAAUAUAUCCUCAAGGAAAUCCUCAAAUAUCUUUUAGGGUAGGGAUCUUAGUUUUUUUACUGAUAUGUCAGCAUAUAGAAUGAGAUCAAUGUAUAUUUAUUUGAUUGAUCAUUGAUUAACUUCUUAGUGUUUUUAUGUCUCUGCUAUUGCUACUGUAAUUAAUUCCACAAAUUUAGCAGCUUAAAGCCAUACAGAUUUUAUUGUCUUACAGUUAUGAAGGUCAGAAGUCCAAAUUGGGUGUGUGUGGGCUAAAACCAAGGUUUAGCAGGGCUGUGUUCCUUCUGAAGCUUGUAGUAAGAACUUUCCUUGCCUUUUCCAGCAUUUAGAGGUCACGUACAUUCCCUGAUGCUUGGCCUGCUCCUCCUCUUCAUAGCCAGCAGCAUAACAUCUUCAAAUCUCUCUGACUCUUAUCUCCUACCUUCGUCUUACAAAGACCCUGUGAUUACAUUAGACCUAACUGGAAAAUCCAAGACAAUCUCCUUUUGGAAGAUCCUUACUUUAGUCACCACAAUGUCCCUUUUCCCAUGUAGGUUAAUCUAUUCACAGGUUUUGGAGAUGGAGAUGCGAACACCUUUGGGAGCCCAUUCUACCACAAUGCUUAAUCUCAUUUUCCAAUAUCAUAUUGUAUUAC